Non-coding RNA from Microcebus murinus (gray mouse lemur), 312 nucleotides. NCBI's taxonomy places the organism in Eukaryota, Metazoa, Chordata, Mammalia, Primates, Cheirogaleidae. The record is from RefSeq and is a predicted model, not a curated record.
GAUGAAACUGUAUAAUAGCAGCCCAUAAAAAGUUGUAUCAAUCACAAUUGUCUUUAUGCAUUUUUAUCCCCAUUCAGAAGAUACAAGUUUCUAUAUGAUGCAGUUCCCUUUAUGAUUAUGAAAAUUACUCUCUUUGGAAUCUGAUGGAUACCCCCAACUUGAGUAUGUGGUGCAUGUGCAUUGAACGAGAUUCAAAGUCUGGUAGUUAUUUCUGAGAAAGCUUUGCUUUCUUGAAUUUGGCCCUAUACUUCUUUCUUCUCUUGCUUGGAAUUCAAUAAGAGGUUGGAAUGGGAGUGCGCAUCUUGGAACCAU